UACGUAGGGUGCAAGCGUUGUCCGGAAUUAUUGGGCGUAAAGAGUGUGUAGGCGGUGCUCUAAGUUCGGUGUGAAAUCUCCUGGCUCAACUGGGAGGGUGCGCCGGAAACUGGAGUGCUUGAGCGUGGGAGAGGAAAGCGGAAUUCCUGGUGUAGCGGUGAAAUGCGUAGAUAUCGGGAGGAACACCAGUGGCGAAGGCGGCGAUCUGGGUCGAUACUGACGCUGAGGUGCGAAAGCGUGGGGAGCAAACAGG
RNAcentral lists this ribosomal RNA (253 nucleotides) under uncultured bacterium. RNAcentral's name for it is "partial 16S ribosomal RNA". It matches the Rfam family "Bacterial small subunit ribosomal RNA", at positions 524 to 776 of the family's 1533-position model. The record is from RNAcentral.